Molecule: ribosomal RNA, 465 nt
Filed under: uncultured bacterium
Lineage: Bacteria
Description: partial 16S ribosomal RNA
Rfam family: Bacterial small subunit ribosomal RNA
Source: RNAcentral
CUACGGGGCGCAGCAGUGGGGAAUAUUGGACAAUGGGGGAAACCCUGAUCCAGCAAUGCCGCGUGUGUGAAGAAGGCCUGCGGGUUGUAAAGCACUUUCGGUUGGGAGGACUGCUUCUAGCACUAAUAUUGUUGGAAGUUGACGUUACCUUCAGAAGAAGCACCGGCUAACUCCGUGCCAGCAGCUGCGGUAAUACGGAGGGUGCAAGCGUUAAUCGGAAUUACUGGGCGUAAAGCGCGCGUAGGCGGCUAGAUCAGUCGGGUGUGAAAGCCCCGGGCUUAACCUGGGAACUGCAUCCGAUACUGUCUAGCUGGAGUACAGGAGAGGAGAGUGGAAUUCCACAUGUAGCGGUGAAAUGCGUAGAUAUGUGGAGGAACACCAAUGGCGAAGGCAGCUCUCUGGCCUGAUACUGACGCUGAGGUGCGAAAGCGUGGGGAGCAAACAGGAUUAGAUACCCGCGUAGUC